CACAUGCAAGUCGAGGGGCAGCAUGGUCCUUGCUUGCUAAGGCCGAUGGCGACCGGCGCACGGGUGAGUAACACGUAUCCAACCUGCCGUCUACUCUUGGACAGCCUUCUGAAAGGAAGAUUAAUACAAGAUGGCAUCAUGAGUCCGCAUGUUCACAUGAUUAAAGGUAUUCCGGUAGACGAUGGGGAUGCGUUCCAUUAGAUAGUAGGCGGGGUAACGGCCCACCUAGUCUUCGAUGGAUAGGGGUUCUGAGAGGAAGGUCCCCCACAUUGGAACUGAGACACGGUCCAAACUCCUACGGGAGGCAGCAGUGAGGAAUAUUGGUCAAUGGGCGAGAGCCUGAACCAGCCAAGUAGCGUGAAGGAUGACUGCCCUAUGGGUUGUAAACUUCUUUUAUAAAGGAAUAAAGUCGGGUAUGGAUACCCGUUUGCAUGUACUUUAUGAAUAAGGAUCGGCUAACUCCGUGCCAGCAGCCGCGGUAAUACGGAGGAUCCGAGCGUUAUCCGGAUUUAUUGGGUUUAAAGGGAGCGUAGAUGGAUGUUUAAGUCAGUUGUGAAAGUUUGCGGCUCAACCGUAAAAUUGCAGUUGAUACUGGAUAUCUUGAGUGCAGUUGAGGCAGGCGGAAUUCGUGGUGUAGCGGUGAAAUGCUUAGAUAUCACGAAGAACUCCGAUUGCGAAGGCAGCCUGCUAAGCUGCAACUGACAUUGAGGCUCGAAAGUGUGGGUAUCAAACAGGAUUAGAUACCCUGGUAGUCCACACGGUAAACGAUGAAUACUCGCUGUUUGCGAUAUACAGCAAGCGGCCAAGCGAAAGCGUUAAGUAUUCCACCUGGGGAGUACGCCGGCAACGGUGAAACUCAAAGGAAUUGACGGGGGCCCGCACAAGCGGAGGAACAUGUGGUUUAAUUCGAUGAUACGCGAGGAACCUUACCCGGGCUUAAAUUGCAGAUGAAUUACGGUGAAAGCCGUAAGCCGCAAGGCAUCUGUGAAGGUGCUGCAUGGUUGUCGUCAGCUCGUGCCGUGAGGUGUCGGCUUAAGUGCCAUAACGAGCGCAACCCUUGUUGUCAGUUACUAACAGGUUCCGCUGAGGACUCUGACAAGACUGCCAUCGUAAGAUGUGAGGAAGGUGGGGAUGACGUCAAAUCAGCACGGCCCUUACGUCCGGGGCUACACACGUGUUACAAUGGGGGGUACAGAGGGCCGCUACCACGCGAGUGGAUGCCAAUCCCAAAAACCUCUCUCAGUUCGGACUGGAGUCUGCAACCCGACUCCACGAAGCUGGAUUCGCUAGUAAUCGCGCAUCAGCCACGGCGCGGUGAAUACGUUCCCGGGCCUUGUACACACCGCCUGUCAAGCCAUGGGAGCCGGGGGUACCUGAAGUGCGUAACCGCGAGGAGCGCCCUAGGGUAAAACUGGUGACUGGGGCUAAGUCAUAACAA
Molecule: ribosomal RNA, 1438 nt
Filed under: uncultured bacterium
Lineage: Bacteria
Description: bacterial SSU rRNA
Rfam family: Bacterial small subunit ribosomal RNA
Source: RNAcentral